UUGACUCAUGUUGCCUCGGCGGGUCCUCCCGCCAGAGGAUACAUCAAAACUCCUGUUUUAACGGUGUUGUCUGAGCUACAAGCAACGAAUCAAAACUUUCAACAACGGAUCUCUUGGUUCUGGCAUCGAUGAAGAACGCAGCGAAAUGCGAUAAGUAGUGUGAAUUGCAGAAUUCAGUGAAUCAUCGAAUCUUUGAACGCACAUUGCGCCCCUUGGUAUCCCGAGGGGCAUGCCUGUUCGAGCGUCAUUUCACCACUCAAGCCUGGCUUGGUGUUGGGCGACGUCCCCCUUUAGGGACGCGCCUCGAAACGCUCGGCGGCGUGGCACCGGCUUUAAGCGUAGCAGAAUCUUUCGCUUUGAAAGUCGGGGCCCCGUCUGCCGGAAGACCUACUCACAAGGUUGACCUCGGAUCAGGUAGGGAUACCCGCUGAACUUAAGCAUAUC
RNAcentral lists this unclassified non-coding RNA (444 nucleotides) under uncultured Cenococcum. RNAcentral describes it as "sequence contains ITS1, 5.8S rRNA gene and ITS2". The stretch from base 94 to 247 matches the Rfam family "5.8S ribosomal RNA". The record is from RNAcentral. Lineage: Eukaryota; Fungi; Ascomycota; Dothideomycetes; Gloniales; Gloniaceae.